UACGUAGGGUGCAAGCGUUAAUCGGAAUUACUGGGCGUAAAGCGUGCGCAGGCGGUUAUGUAAGACAGGUGUGAAAUCCCCGGGCUUAACCUGGGAACUGCAUUUGUGACUGCAUAGCUAGAGUACGGUAGAGGGGGAUGGAAUUCCGCGUGUAGCAGUGAAAUGCGUAGAUAUCGGGAGGAAUACCGAUGGCGAAGGCAGGUCUCUGGGCUGACACUGACGCUCAUGCACGAAAGCGUGGGGAGCAAACAGG
Molecule: ribosomal RNA, 253 nt
Filed under: uncultured bacterium
Lineage: Bacteria
Description: partial 16S ribosomal RNA
Rfam family: Bacterial small subunit ribosomal RNA
Source: RNAcentral